UACGUAGGGGGCAAGCGUUUGUCCGGAAUUAUUGGGCGUAAAGAGCUCGUAGGCGGUUUGUCGCGUCUGCUGUGAAAACCCGAGGCUCAACCUCGGGCCUGCAGUGGGGUACGGGCAGACUGGAGUACUGCAGGGGAGACUGGAAUUCCUGGUGUAGCGGUGGAAUGCGCAGAUAUCGAGAGGAACACCAGUGGCGAAGGCGAGUCCCUGGACAACACCUGACACUGAGGCACGAAAGCCAGGGGAGCAAACGGG
This 255-nucleotide ribosomal RNA is filed under the name uncultured bacterium. RNAcentral's name for it is "partial 16S ribosomal RNA". It matches the Rfam family "Bacterial small subunit ribosomal RNA", at positions 524 to 776 of the family's 1533-position model. The record is from RNAcentral.